This 73-nucleotide transfer RNA is filed under the name Emericellopsis fuci. RNAcentral describes it as "Acremonium fuci tRNA-Trp". It matches the Rfam family "tRNA". Rfam says of the family: Transfer RNA (tRNA) molecules are approximately 80 nucleotides in length. Their secondary structure includes four short double-helical elements and three loops (D, anti-codon, and T loops). The record is from RNAcentral. Lineage: Eukaryota; Fungi; Ascomycota; Sordariomycetes; Hypocreales; Bionectriaceae. RNAcentral also lists the same sequence under 2 other names.
AAGAGUAUGAUUUAAUUGGUUAAAAUAAGAAGCUUCAACCUUCUGUAUCCGGGAUCGAGACCUGGUACUCUUG